Sardina pilchardus (European sardine) is the source of this 672-nucleotide long non-coding RNA. RefSeq lists it as uncharacterized. The record is from RefSeq and is a predicted model, not a curated record. The transcript has 3 exons. Lineage: Eukaryota; Metazoa; Chordata; Actinopteri; Clupeiformes; Clupeidae.
AGAGACUUUUCCCUUCGUUUGUUCCCUUCGUUUUACACGCAAACGGCGAUUUCGCCUCUGAAUACGAUUCUGUCUAAACAAAACUCGGGCAAAAGUGGAGAUUUGGAAAUUCAUUUCGCGUUGUAUUUAAACUGAGAAAAACGAAGAAAAAGUGUGACCACGGAGCCAGCGGCUCGAGGGAAAUGAUUAGCUGCUAACAAGUUCAACAGGUUAAGGUCAUACAGUCAUGUUAGCUAUGUGUUGUGCAGUUGAGGAACCCUGAACUGGUAUUUUAUGCUAACGUUAUACCAAAAGAAAGAAGAAAGAAGUAGCUGCCAUUCGAAGAGAUGUUUGGAUAACCACGGUUCACACCCUGCAAUGAACACUUUCGUGUCAGGAGCGACUGCUUUGGACUCCAGUUUUGUGCGCAGUCUUUUUGCACACACCUCGGCGAGGGAGAAGGACAAACAACAUUCAGCCAAUGAAGCACAAAAUGCGUGACUUGCAACAAUCUCACUGGCUGUUCAACCACCAAUGUGGAGGAGCAUGAAGAGGCUACUACUUCUACUGACCAUCACAGUGACCACAACUAUGAAAAGACCUGGCAUCGGAGAUGUCAGCACUGGAAAAUUCUCAGAUCUAAUCUUAUGGCCACCUAAGGAACAGCAGUGAGAUCACAACACAUGAUUGGUA